This 253-nucleotide ribosomal RNA is filed under the name uncultured bacterium. RNAcentral describes it as "partial 16S ribosomal RNA". It matches the Rfam family "Bacterial small subunit ribosomal RNA", at positions 524 to 776 of the family's 1533-position model. The record is from RNAcentral.
UACAGGGGGUGCAAACGUUGCUCGGAAUCAUUGGGCGUAAAGCGCACGUAGGCGGUUCGUUAUGUCGGAUGUGAAAGCCCUUGGCUUAACCGAGGAAGUGCAUCCGAAACUGGCGAGCUAGAGUACGAAAGAGGAUCGCGGAAUUCCCGGUGUAGAGGUGAAAUUCGUAGAUAUCGGGAGGAACACCGGUGGCGAAGGCGGCGAUCUGGGUCGAUACUGACGCUGAGGUGCGAAAGCGCGGGGAGCAAACAGG